This 492-nucleotide ribosomal RNA is filed under the name uncultured bacterium. Its description in RNAcentral is "partial 16S ribosomal RNA". It matches the Rfam family "Bacterial small subunit ribosomal RNA", at positions 29 to 507 of the family's 1533-position model. The record is from RNAcentral.
AGUGAACGCUGGCGGUAGGCCUAACACAUGCAAGUCGAACGGCAGCACAGUAAGAGCUUGCUCUUACGGGUGGCGAGUGGCGGACGGGUGAGGAAUACAUCGGAAUCUACUUUUUCGCGGGGGUUAACGUAGGGAAACUUACGCUAAUACCGCAUACGACCUACGGGUGAAAGCAGGGGAUCUUCGGACCUUGCGCGAUUGAAUGAGCCGAUGUCGGAUUAGCUAGUUGGCGGGGUAAAGGCCCACCAAGGCGACGAUCCGUAGCUGGUCUGAGAGGAUGAUCAGCCACACUGGAACUGAGACACGGUCCAGACUCCUACGGGAGGCAGCAGUGGGGAAUAUUGGACAAUGGGCGCAAGCCUGAUCCAGCCAUACCGCGUGGGUGAAGAAGGCCUUCGGGUUGUAAAGCCCUUUUGUUGGGAAAGAAAAGCAGCAGGUUAAUACCCCGCUGUUCUGACGGUACCCAAAGAAUAAGCACCGGCUAACUUCGUG